GUGUCAGCAGCCGCGGUAAUACGAAGGGGGCUAGCGUUGUUCGGAAUUACUGGGCGUAAAGCGCGCGCAGGCGGCCUUUCAAGUCAGGGGUGAAAGCCCGGAGCUCAACUCCGGAAUUGCCUCUGAGACUGACAGGCUUGAGUACGGGAGAGGUGAGUGGAAUUCCGAGUGUAGAGGUGAAAUUCGUAGAUAUUCGGAAGAACACCGGUGGCGAAGGCGGCUCACUGGCCCGUUACUGACGCUCAGGCGCGACAGCGUGGGGAUCAAACAGGAUUAGAAACCCCUGUAGUCC
RNAcentral lists this ribosomal RNA (292 nucleotides) under uncultured bacterium. Its description in RNAcentral is "partial 16S ribosomal RNA". It matches the Rfam family "Bacterial small subunit ribosomal RNA", at positions 505 to 796 of the family's 1533-position model. The record is from RNAcentral.